Molecule: long non-coding RNA, 3218 nt
Organism: Nyctereutes procyonoides (raccoon dog)
Lineage: Eukaryota; Metazoa; Chordata; Mammalia; Carnivora; Canidae
Exons: 3
Source: RefSeq, a predicted model, not a curated record
GCAAAGGCUGACAGCAGGAAAAAGAAGCAGAGAAGCAAAUGGCAUGGAUCAGCCCAAACAACACAGACUUUCCGCAUGGUCAUCAUGGGGAGACACUGCUAUUGGCAGGACCAAUUUCUCCUUCAUCUGGAAGCAGGAAACAGGAUUUGGGGAGCCCUGGCUGUCAGGACCUGAGUUCUCUAUUCUCCUUCUGCCCAGCUGCUUUGAGAAGGUGAUGUGUGGCUCAGGAUACACCUUCCUGGAGCGUGCCUGUAGUUGCCAUGGCUACUCCCAAGCAAGUCCUGCGUGAAUGAACCUGGUGCUGUUCCGAGGCUCCACAGCCAGCCCCGUAGAUCACAAAUGUCUUGGAUGGUUCUCCCCUUCCAGUGAUAUAAUUGGAUCCAUUGCUCAUCUGUCAUGACCAAAGUAGAAACAGACAACAGGCCAUCUGUUCCAUCUUUCCAAGUUCUUCCUCAGCAUGAGCCCCAUCUCUGCUGCUCAUUGUUACCAUGGGCAGGUGCACCCAUGGUAACGGUCAACCGUGUGGUGUCGGAGCUGCCCACUUAGCUGCUUGAGUGACACUGACUCAGCAUCAAUUCUUUCAUUAGUUCAAGGGGCUCUUCUUACCAGGUUCUGGGAAUGAAGAGCUAAUGUAGAUGCUUUAUAUUUCCUGGAGGCUCUCUCCUUGUGCUCAUUUAAUGUAUUUUAUGGCCCAUGUGUCCUCUGCAAACGGCUAGAUCUGUUUUGCCCGAGUGUGAAGAAUAAUUAAGAUCAUUCUAAGUCAAAUGAAGUGUUGAAACACAUUGUCAGAGGAUCUUGAGCAUUGUAAGUGUCUCGUUACCUCUGACACUAUGUAAUGGGGCAUGUUGUCACUCUGUUUCUUUCCUCUGAAAUAUCCAUGCUGGGGCUUUCCCUCCCUACCUCCACUUCUCUAUGUGUCAAGAAGCCACCACACACCUGUAGUCAGGUGUCAUAAAGUGCACCAGGCUGAUAAGAGAGAGACUAGUGCUUAGACGAUGCUCAGCAAAGCCUUGCAGCACCAUCUGCUGAAUUAUCCCUGGGCGAAGGUGAGGUGCAGCAGGUGUGAAGAAGACACAUCUCCCAGAGCAGCAGCAGCACAAACAUCACCCAUGUGUCUCCCGCCGGCUUUGUGCCUCCUCCUUCACAUGGUAACCACAUCGGCUGCAGGACUGGGCGAGCUCCUGCUGUCCUUGUCCCCCUCCUCCUCCACUCCACCCUGGGAGCAUUUGCCUGUGCCUAAGCAGCAGAAGUGACCCUCUCCAUGAGGUGGAAACCAAUGGAUUCUGACUUGAAAAUAGUCAUUCUAAAUAUAUCUGAGCUGACAGUUAAUGAGCACUUAAUAUUUGCCGGGCGCACUGUUAAUGCCUUACACAUCCUGUCAGAGUUUAUCCUCACAUUAACUCAUUCCGAAGGCUGCAAUUAUCCCAUUUUAUAUUUGGGAAAAUUCAGGCUUAGAGACUCUCAUUUACCCCAAGCCACACACAGCCUUCAGUUGGUAAAGCUGAAUGCAAAUCUGUGUCUCCAUGACCCCACAGGCCAUGUCCGUAGCCUCUUCACUAUGCUGCGUGUUUCUGGGCUGCCUGUCCCUAUCAUCUAUGUAUUUCCAGGUAUCCCAUGGCUCAGUCUGUGUUCUGUCUGCCAAAAUAUUUCCUGACAUAGCCCCUCACUGCUAUGGCUUCCCCACCCUUGUGGACAGAUCCUUUUCCCAGGCCCUCAGCCCUUCCUGCCUGCCCUAGCGUGCUCUUGUCAACCAGAUCACAUCCAAUCAAACCCAAACUCUUGACACUCCCAUUUACCAAAAAGCUAUGCUUAAGAUAGAAGACACAUGACACAGGAGAAGCUAGACAUGGGAUACUGCGGGCCACUGCCCCUUAGAAUAACUAGCAAUGCUUACUUUUGUGUAACACUUUGCAAUUGACAAAGCAAUUUAGCAUAUUCCCUCAUUUAAAAUGAAUGAAUAGUUCAAGAUGCAAAUAGCAAAAUGACUGUCUGCAGGAGAGCCAGUCCAAGUACAAAUUGGCACUCAGGCCCUUCUCCAAUGAAGAAGGGAAAUGUUUGCACCACUGACAAAGUACACUUAAAUAAAUCUAUAAAAGUAGUUAGUGGGCUUUUUCUUCUUUUAAUUCAAAGUUUAUUUUUAUUCAUUGAUUGAUUACAUAGAGACUUUUACAAAUUCAAAUAUGCAGUAGGAACAGUUGGCAAAUUCAUUAAACUUGAUGUUUCUACUUCUCUUUCCCCAAAGUAACCAAUUGUUUGGGAAAAUAGCAACGUUAAUUACUGCCAAUUGUUAACUGCAAAUAUAUUUGCACUUUCACAAUCAUGGCAUGUUUGCAUUUCACACGGCUUCUGUUUUAUAACCUGGAGCAAGUCUCCAUUAACAUUUGUUUUUUAACAAGAUGAUUAGAAAAGGCAGUGGGUUAGCAAAUAAGCAAAUAAUUACCUUUGGUUAAAAGUCCUUGUUUAGGUCCAAUUUGAAGAUGUGCUGUUAUUUUUUCCUACCAUGAACAUGAACCUCCAAAUAACCUUCAGCUACACCUUCUGUAAACUUUGCAGAGUGAUUGUGUAUCUGUGUCCAUAUUACAGAUGGGGGCUAGGUGUCCUCUCAAACCCAGAGCAUCCCAGACAGGCAGGCCCUCUGCAGGUUCUGGCCCUCAUUCUUUGCCCCUACUCAGCAUCUUGCCAGCAUCUUGUUUUCUUGAUGGCCAAUUUCAAAAGGUUCAUCUAUGGAAUUAUUUUGAAUGCCUCUUCUCACUUCUUGGAAGGUUUGUUGAGGGUCCCCAAGAUCAUCUUCAAGUUCAGUGACAUACUAGAAGGACUCACAGAACUCCAAAAAGCUGUUACAUAAUCAUGUUUCUGGCUUAGUACAGUGAAAGGAUACACACCAAAAUCACCAUUGGCCCAUGGGGAGGAAUCCAGAAGAAACCAGCAUGAGUUUCCAGGUGUUCUCUGCCAGGAGAGUCACAGGACAUUAUUCAUUCUCUCAGUCUGCUGAGUUAACUCUUUACUGCACUUCCUGAAGAAAGAAUAUUGUAAAAUAUUGGUUUAAACUUCUCUAAGGGAUCCCUGGGUGGCACAGCGGUUUGGCGCCUGCCUUUGGCCCAGGGCACAAUCCUGGAGACCCGGGAUCGAAUCCCACAUCGGGCUCCCGGUGCAUGGAGCCUGCUUCUCCCUCUGCCUAUGUCUCUGCGCCUCUCUCUCUCUCUCUCUCUCUCUCUCUC